This is a non-coding RNA of Triticum aestivum (bread wheat), 74 nucleotides long. The record is from the annotation of a RefSeq genome assembly. NCBI's taxonomy places the organism in Eukaryota, Viridiplantae, Streptophyta, Magnoliopsida, Poales, Poaceae.
CCGACCUUAGCUCAGUUGGUAGAGCGGAGGACUGUAGAUCCUUAGGGUCACUGGUUCGAAUCCGGUAGGUCGGA